GGUCUCGUAGUGUAGAGGUUAACACGCCUGCCUGUCACGCAGGAGAUCGCGGGUUCGAUUCCCGUCGAGACCGCCA
RNAcentral lists this transfer RNA (76 nucleotides) under Staphylococcus aureus. RNAcentral's name for it is "tRNA-Asp(gtc)". It matches the Rfam family "tRNA". Rfam says of the family: Transfer RNA (tRNA) molecules are approximately 80 nucleotides in length. Their secondary structure includes four short double-helical elements and three loops (D, anti-codon, and T loops). Further hydrogen bonds mediate the characteristic L-shaped molecular structure. tRNAs have two regions of fundamental functional importance: the anti-codon, which is responsible for specific mRNA codon recognition, and the 3' end, to which the tRNAs corresponding amino acid is attached (by aminoacyl-tRNA synthetases). tRNAs cope with the degeneracy of the genetic code in two manners: having more than one tRNA (with a specific anti-codon) for a particular amino acid; and 'wobble' base-pairing, i.e. permitting non-standard base-pairing at the 3rd anti-codon position. The record is from RNAcentral. Lineage: Bacteria; Bacillati; Bacillota; Bacilli; Caryophanales; Staphylococcaceae.